Molecule: transfer RNA, 56 nt
Filed under: Angiostrongylus costaricensis
Lineage: Eukaryota; Metazoa; Nematoda; Chromadorea; Rhabditida; Metastrongylidae
Description: tRNA-Cys
Source: RNAcentral
AAGCUCUUAGUAUAAGGAUUGUAUUUCUAAUUGCAAAUUAGAGGGUUUUGAGUUUU